GACGAACGCUGGCGGCGUGCUUAACACAUGCAAGUCGAGCGAGGCCCCUCCUUCGGGGGGGUGUCCUAGCGGCGAACGGGUGAGUAACACGUGGGCAACCUGCCCUCAGCUCUGGGAUAACUCCGGGAAACCGGGGCUAAUACCGGAUACGACCUCCACGGGCAUCUGCGGAGGUGGAAAGUUUUUCGGCUGAGGAUGGGCCCGCGGCCUAUCAGCUAGUUGGUGGGGUAGUGGCCCACCAAGGCGACGACGGGUAGCCGGCCUGAGAGGGCGACCGGCCACACUGGGACUGAGACACGGCCCAGACUCCUACGGGAGGCAGCAGUGGGGAAUAUUGCGCAAUGGGCGGAAGCCUGACGCAGCGACGCCGCGUGAGGGACGAAGGCCUUCGGGUUGUAAACCUCUUUCAGCAGGGACGAAGCGAAAGUGACGGUACCUGCAGAAGAAGCACCGGCCAACUACGUG
Molecule: ribosomal RNA, 465 nt
Filed under: uncultured bacterium
Lineage: Bacteria
Description: partial 16S ribosomal RNA
Rfam family: Bacterial small subunit ribosomal RNA
Source: RNAcentral